GGGUGGUAAUGCCGGAUGCUCCAGUUGACCGCAUGGUCCUCUGGGAAAGCUUUUGCGGUAUGGGAUGGGGUCGCGUCCUAUCAGCUUGAUGGCGGGGUAACGGCCCACCAUGGCUUCGACGGGUAGCCGGCCUGAGAGGGCGACCGGCCACAUUGGGACUGAGAUACGGCCCAGACUCCUACGGGAGGCAGCAGUGGGGAAUAUUGCACAAUGGGCGCAAGCCUGAUGCAGCGACGCCGCGUGCGGGAUGACGGCCUUCGGGUUGUAAACCGCUUUUGACUGGGAGCAAGCCCUUCGGGGUGAGUGUACCUUUCGAAUAAGCACCGGCUAACUACGUGCCAGCAGCCGCGGUAAUACGUAGGGUGCAAGCGUUAUCCGGAAUUAUUGGGCGUAAAGGGCUCGUAGGCGGUUCGUCGCGUCCGGUGUGAAAGUCCAUCGCUUAACGGUGGAUCCGCGCCGGGUACGGGCGGGCUUGAGUGCGGUAGGGGAGACUGGAAUUCCCGGUGUAACGGUGGAAUGUGUAGAUAUCGGAAAAGAACACCA
RNAcentral lists this ribosomal RNA (543 nucleotides) under Bifidobacterium adolescentis. Its description in RNAcentral is "partial 16S ribosomal RNA". It matches the Rfam family "Bacterial small subunit ribosomal RNA", at positions 158 to 711 of the family's 1533-position model. Lineage: Bacteria; Bacillati; Actinomycetota; Actinomycetes; Bifidobacteriales; Bifidobacteriaceae. The record is from RNAcentral.